AACCGCCGUAUACGGAACCGUACGUACGGUGGUGUGAGAGGACGGGAGGUAUCACUCCCUCCUACUCGAU
This is a non-coding RNA of Bhargavaea cecembensis DSE10, 70 nucleotides long. The record is from Rfam. NCBI's taxonomy places the organism in Bacteria, Bacillati, Bacillota, Bacilli, Caryophanales, Caryophanaceae.